CUUCACGCUAUUGAUGGUAUCCUGUCGCAAGAGACGGCGGGGAUAGAGUCCAAAUGACAACAUGUGAACAGGAUACAUAAGCUCAGCGACGCCUGCGUGCUCUUCGACACAAUUCAUCGGGGUGGAGCUCAAAACGAUUGCCCUGACCCCAAAGAACUAAUAGGUGAGAGUUCAGAACACGAGCCUGCUAUCAAAUCUAUUUUGCCGGCUGGGUCACUUUGCACCCGGUGUGGCAAAUACAUCACUGGACAAAGUCUAUUGAAAGCCUCUUUCACAGAGAUGCUGCGAAAUUGUCUCAUGAGAAACUCGACAGAAUACCCAGCCUUGAUCUUGAUCUGCCAGUGGUGAGCUGUGCAUUUGGUAUUUGGUUAACCACACUUAAUCACCUCCUAACACAACACAGUUAGACGCAAUUCUAGAAACCAUCGAUACCAGACCAAAAUGCAAUAAAACUGUACAUCAUCUGGAGCGGUUAAGAAUCAACAUUUGUAGAAUACCUUGACAAAAAUAUAUUUCAAGAAAAGCUCAAUAAAAUACAUCACACUCACCAGAGAUGACAUUUAAAUGAAUUAUGAUGUGCGGAUGGCUACAGAGCUGUUUUGCUAGUUGAAAUUAGCUAAAAGAAGUUUUGAUCUGACCAACCAAUCAGAGGACGAAAAACUGCUGAUGUCAUCAGGGGCCAGCACUCUGGCCCUGUGAGGACGAAUUUGAAAUCUGAUUGUUAAAAAAAAAAA
Molecule: long non-coding RNA, 734 nt
Organism: Hippocampus comes (tiger tail seahorse)
Lineage: Eukaryota; Metazoa; Chordata; Actinopteri; Syngnathiformes; Syngnathidae
Exons: 2
Source: RefSeq, a predicted model, not a curated record